This is a non-coding RNA of Cinara cedri, 458 nucleotides long. Lineage: Eukaryota; Metazoa; Arthropoda; Insecta; Hemiptera; Aphididae. The record is from the annotation of a GenBank genome assembly.
AAAAAAGAUAAAACGGUGUACAGUAUUUAUUGCAAACGUUUUCUAGAUUGACAAUUGCAUUGCACUGGUGUUUGUUUUGUAGAAGUAGGUACGCAUAGAUGAUUUAUGGAGUUUUGCGAAUUAACGGGACGAGUGUGUGCUGGUGCACCAGGUAUAUCAUGUGUGCGUUGCACAAAUAUACGCGGUACACCGGUACGUACGGCACAUAUUGUAUUAUUUACUUAGGUACCGCGCGAAAUAGAUCUUACCUUAUCUGACCUUUUUUUUUUUUUUCCUCUUCUCCGUACCGUCUGUAAAUGCAGCAUUUGGCGUUUAGCGUUGAACACGUAACUAAGGACAUGCGCGAAUUUUAUCGAUUUUUUUUUUUUAUUUUUUCUUUCAAACCGUUUAUUUUUCUUCCGUAAAAGAAACCCGAAACCGCAAUGAUCAAACCGACAUCGUAUUAUCGUCUCGGCGCU